Molecule: long non-coding RNA, 3279 nt
Organism: Acipenser ruthenus (sterlet)
Lineage: Eukaryota; Metazoa; Chordata; Actinopteri; Acipenseriformes; Acipenseridae
Exons: 2
Source: RefSeq, a predicted model, not a curated record
CUUAAAAACCUGUGAGAAUGCGCACAAGCUUAAUUGGGUAAUUGAUUGGCAAUGUAUUUUGAUCAUUUGUAUGUAAAGUGAAGACACUUCCUCAGCUUAGCUUGGGCUACUGCUUCCCACAUAAUUUCAGCUGCAGGUACACAAACUGCGAAAAUGACCAUGCAAAUUUACUGUGGUAAACUUUUAUCUUUUAACCAGAGACACAAUUUAAAUAAACUCAAAGUAGGUGUCACUUUAAAUAACUCAGUAUCAGAAAAACACAACUCACCUGUGUGGCCAUUCUACAGUAUAAGGCCACUAAAUAAGUGUUGUUUUUCCAUUUAAGGCAAAAUAUAGUUGUAUGUAGAAUAUAGUGUAAAACACAGCAGUCACCGCUGUCUAUAAUCACGUGACCUUAUCACUUGUCUAGUCAACUAGCUUUCAAGUGGCUCCCCUCUACCAAUAUAUUAUUUUGAACCAAAACAUUUAUCUUCGCAUUGCGUGGGACUGCCCCACUGCACUGCAAGAAAUCCAUCUGUUUCUCUGUUCUGCUGAUAAAAACAGAUGCUGCACCCCUUGAAGAAAAAGAAAAUAUCGGCUGAAUCUAAAGAACAUGUGAAUACAAACCAAUGCGUACGGCUGUGGGCACCAAAGCUGACAGACAUCUUCAUAUAUCAGAAUCUGAUACUCUCAAAAACGUGUGCUAAAUAAUGUUAAUUCCAAGCUUUGUGACAAUAAGUGGUUUUCCAGAUACAGUAUAUGCAAAAAUGUAAGUGUGACAUACAGAUGGACUAAUGUAUGAACAGACAGACAGACACCCUCAUAUGUCCCCAGCAUCUCAUUAACUUAUUCUAAAUAGUGUUAAAUACAAGUUUUGUGACAAUUGGACAAGCCGUUCUCCAGAUUUACUGUACUAGUAGACACGGAAGCAUUAGUUCACACAGAUAAUUUAGCUUCUUCAGAACCAGAUCUUAACUACUGUACAAACUACUGUAAGCCUUUGAUUGAUGCCAGUGUCACCAUAAUAUGAGACUUGGGACCCAUCACCCUGUCACAGCCACUUACAACCAACAAAUCAGAAUGGUUAAAUUCAAAGUUUAAUAUUUAAUUAUCAUCCUAAGCCUAAAGUGCUCCUGUGGCGGUCUGCCCCACCCCUGUGUGUAUUUGUAAGUUUAUAUUUAUGUGUGUAGUGGUGCAUGAAGUGUGGGUUAUGUAGUAUAGGUGAUUUAAAAUGUAUUUAGGCACAGGGAUUGCACAAUCACUUCACGUGCAGAUUAAAGUGGGUAUUUGUAUGGGGACACGGGGAGUGAACAAUUAGUUAACGUGCACACUGUGUCUGCUCAAAUUGAAUGAUUUAACAAGUAAUGGAGCAAGCCACAGCUGCAUUGUGUCAGAGCUCCCCUAAAAACAAGAACAUUACAUUCAACUGCUGUAGUUCCUAGACGCUUUUAAACCUUUGGACUUUAGUGGGUGUUUCCUGGUCACUUCUGAAACAUAUGUUUGGUGGAUUUUUAAGUGACCCAAUGAUUUCUCCUCUUAGCAUUAAAAACAAAGCAGGACCUUUGUGAAUCAUUAAUACAGUGUACUUAAUUUUUACUUCAAAUAUGAUUGAAAUAACUUCAUUUAUACCAUAAUUUUAGCAACACCGAAAGUAAAAACAAUAUGACAAAUAAGGUCAAGGGCAAUCAUAUUUGAAGGAUUUGUGAAACAUUCCUUUUUACAGUGAAACUUCUGUCGAAGACUAUCCGUUUUAGGAGACAACCUGUUUACAAACACCAGUUUCAUUCAGAACAAAUCCUAUCAAUGGGACAUUGCAUGUGUCACGGGUGACUAUGAUUUCUUUUUUGUGGUAUUUUUAUUAAGUUAUAUUAUAAGUUGUGUUUCUUUAUUGCAUUAUUCAAUAUUAUUGUUUCACUGUUUUGGUUUGUGUAUAGCACGUUAAGUUAAUUUGUAUGAACACUGAGUGACUUUGACACGUUACUGUUUUUUGUUUCCACCCGGAGCGCACAUGGAUGGAAGUUGUUUAACAUCAAGGACGAUAAAUGAUCUGAUCCAGAUUGAGGGAGAGCUUAGAGAGAGCCCACAGAGAGUCGAGAGAGAGAAAAAACACAAGAGAGAAAACAGAAGCACAAAAACAUCCGAGAGGAGGAGAGCGAGAGAGCAAUCCGCUGAAAAGAGGAGCAAAUUGGGAAGCAACUGAGAGGCGGGCGGACAGAGAAGAGAGGCAGAGAAUUCGAUCCAGGAACAAAGGAGCCUUACGUGGAAGCAGCGAGCACAAGCAAGGGGCAGGGGGUGCCAGAGAGACGAGACCAGGAUAAUAAUAACCACAACUGAAAACUGGAAGAAAAGCAGCUGACUUAGCAGCUGUUAAGACUCCUUUGCUAAAGAAGAGUUAAGUAAAUUGUAAUUUAAUUACACCUGUGUGUUAAAUAUACAGAAGUAUAUUUAUUUUCUAGUCUGUCUUAUGCACCCUGCAAUUAGAAUUGCUAAUUGCACCAAUAAGUAGUUGACUUUGUAGUGGUUGAAACACUUUACUAAAGAAGAAGUUAAGUAAAUUGUAUUUUAGUUACACUUGUGUUUGAUUGCACAAGUAUAUUUAAUUCUUGGUCUGUCAUAUGUAUCCUGCUUAUAAAAUUCCUAAUUGUAUUAGUAUUGGUUUAAAAUAGUGUAUGAUUUUAACUGGUUUUUAUUACUGGUUUUAUGAGCUGUAAUUCAUUCAGUCAACUGAUGAUUUUAGUGUUUUAGUAAAUUUGUAGUGGAUACUUAUUUUUAUUUAUGUUUUCGAUGUUUGCAUAUAUAUGGAUAAUUAAUUUUUUCACUGUAGUCAAAUUGCCCUUUAUUAAAAAUAUACAGUCCUCCUGAACCAGAACAAGGAUUGAGAGUGGGAGAAAGCUGUUAGUAGGAUUCUAAUUGCUUUUUUUAUCCCAAGUUGGGAGUGCUGGAGGGCCAAAGAGGGACUACUAUCACUUCAGUGUCAGCGGUGGCACUGGGCCAUUGUUGGUGUGCUGUGUGACAGAAAGUGCCCACCUUGUUGGAGACUGACCAGUGGGGACACCAGUGACACCAACUGAAAACCGUCCGGUUAAACCACCUUAGUCUGAAGGCUGGGCUCGGUGGCGGAAGUGGCGCCCCCUGUUGUGGGGAUUAAAUCAAUUACCAAAUUGGGGAGCAGGAGACUGGAACCAUAUCUGGUACCGAUAACCAAGGGAAUUAGUUAGCGAAAUUGUAGCUUGACUGUUUAUUAGCUGUUCAAAUUUUUUAAUAUUGUCUAUAUCCAAAAUAAAAGUAAUCAAUUACUUA